CAGUAGCCACGGGAAUACAGAGGGUGCGAGCGUUAAUCGGAUUUACUGGGCGUAAAGCGUGCGUAGGCGGCUUCUUAAGUCGGAUGUGAAAUCCCUUAGCUUAACUUAGGAAUUGCAUUCGAUACUGGGAAGCUAGAGUAUGGGAGAGGAUGGUAGAAUUCCAGGUGUAGCGGUGAAAUGCGUAGAGAUCUGGAGGAAUACCGAUGGCGAAGGCAGCCAUCUGGCCUAAUACUGACGCUGAGGUACGAAAGCAUGGGGAGCAAACAGGAUUAGAUACCCCCGUAGUCCCUGUCUCUUAUAC
This 301-nucleotide ribosomal RNA is filed under the name uncultured bacterium. Its description in RNAcentral is "partial 16S ribosomal RNA". It matches the Rfam family "Bacterial small subunit ribosomal RNA", at positions 509 to 807 of the family's 1533-position model. The record is from RNAcentral.